This is an RNA transcript of Centrocercus urophasianus (Greater sage-grouse), 4327 nucleotides long. It is a transcript of the gene named KH RNA binding domain containing, signal transduction associated 1, with no coding region annotated. The record is from RefSeq and is a predicted model, not a curated record. Lineage: Eukaryota; Metazoa; Chordata; Aves; Galliformes; Phasianidae. The transcript is spliced from 11 exons.
AUGGGGCGGUACUUCCGGCCCCUCACUUCCGGCCCCAGCGCUGCGGCGGUCGGUGUGGCAGCGCCGUUCGGGCCCGUUCCGCACCGCGCCCGCCCCUCCGCCCGCAUGCAGCGCCGCGACGACCCCUCCGCCCGCAUGGGCCGGGGUCCGGGGGGGCCCGGAGGCGCCCGCCAAGGGGGGCCCAAUCAGCGGCGGUCGCCCCGAGGCGGGGGGGGCCGUGGGGCCGGGGCCCAGCAGCCGCAGCCGCUGCUGACCGGCGGAGCGGCCGCCGGCUCCUCGGGCGCGCAGGGCCCCGCCGCCGCCUCCCCUGCCCCGCUGCUGCCCGGGGGUGCCGGCAAGAUGGAGCCCGAGAACAAAUACCUGCCCGAGCUGAUGGCUGAGAAGGACAGCCUGGACCCGUCCUUCACGCACGCCAUGCAGCUCCUCAGCGCAGAAAUUGAAAAAAUUCAGAAGGGUGAAACAACAAAGAAGGAUGAGGAAGAGAACUACCUGGAUUUAUUUUCUCACAAGAAUAUGAAACUGAAAGAACGAGUUCUGAUCCCUGUCAAACAGUACCCCAAGUUCAACUUUGUUGGAAAGAUUUUGGGACCUCAAGGUAACACCAUCAAGAGGCUUCAGGAAGAAACUGGUGCUAAGAUCUCUGUGCUUGGGAAGGGUUCAAUGCGAGAUAAGGCAAAGGAGGAAGAGCUGCGUAAAGGGGGAGAUCCUAAAUAUGCUCAUCUAAAUAUGGAUUUGCAUGUCUUCAUUGAAGUGUUUGGACCCCCUUGUGAAGCAUAUGCUCUGAUGGCUCAUGCCAUGGAAGAAGUCAAGAAGUUCCUUGUCCCAGAUAUGAUGGAUGAUAUCUGUCAGGAGCAAUUCUUGGAGCUCUCCUAUCUGAACGGUGUACCAGAGCCAACUCGUGGCCGAGGAGGCCCUGUGCGGGGAAGGGGAGCAGCUCCACCACCGCCUCCACCUGUUCCAAGGUACCUUUCCCAAAAGCAUGGACCUGGAAAUGCUGCAUCUUGCUCAGAGUGGUGCUGCGAGAUCAGGGGGCGCGGUGUUGGGCCUCCCCCUCCGCCGCCUCCUCCCCGGGGGGCCCUGGUGCGAGGAGCCCCGGUGCGGGGUGCCAUUGCCAGGGGAGCAGCUGUAGCCCGUGGAGUUCCGCCCCCCCCAGCAGUGCGGGGAGCUCCUGCCCCCAGAGCGCGUGCGGCCGGCAUCCAGCGGAUACCGCUUCCUCCUCCUCCAGCACCAGAAACCUACGAGGAAUACGGUUACGAUGAUGCAUAUGCAGACCAGAGCUAUGAGGGCUAUGAAGGCUACUACAGCCAGGGCCAAGGGGACACAGAAUACUAUGAUUAUGGACACGGGGAGGCACAGGAAACCUAUGAAGCUUAUGGCCAAGAUGACUGGAACGGCACCAGGCCCUCCCUGAAGGCCCCCCCAGCCCGGCCGGUGAAGGGCGCCUACAGGGAGCACCCAUACGGACGUUACUAAAAACAAAAUGAGGGAAAAAUAGCAGUUAUGAGCAAACAGUUGUUACUGAUUCUUGUAUCUCCCAGGAUUCCUGUUGCUUUGCCCACACCAGACAAGAGCGCGGAGCGGCGGACGAGGGCUGAAGGCGAGGAGGGGCAGCGCUCAUUGGAUCGCUGGAAGCCUGAGCUCCAGAAAUCAGAGAACAAAGAAAUAAGCCUUUGUGCUGCUGGAGGAGUGUAACGGCUUCAAAAGACUGCUGCGCAAAGCCCCGGGAGCGGGACGUGGAAGGACAUGAGACUGAUUUUAUAUGGAAAUGCAGAGCUACCCAACGAGCUUCUCUUAAGAGCGUUAGGAACGAGAAGAUGGUUAUAUGUGGAAAUGGUGCAGCACAAUGAGAUUAGCCUCAAUCCUUUGCCUUUAACUUGAAAAUUGGAGCCGUAAUUCUGUUAGGGAAAGACGUCGCAUCUGGAAUUCGGGGGGCUGUUUGUGUAAUGCAUCUCCAUUACAACGUAACUGAAACAUCAGUUCAUGCGCUGGUGUUCCAGUCUUUGCCAUUUCUUUCUUAAUAGGCACAACUUUUAUAUCAAAUGGAAAAGAUUUGAUAGAGAUCAUCUAUUAUGAUGCAGUUUUUUACCAGUAGGAUCUUGUGGCACCGCCUUUGGAGUUGUACAGCUUGCUUGUGCAUCACAUUUAUUGCAUGUUUAUGUGAAAAUGUUGAAUGUUAUGGGGGAAUGUAAAUCUUAAUAUAUUGAAAAUAACUGCAUACGCUAAAAAUAUUUCAAAAACAUGUUCUGCAUCAGAUAGCUUCCUCCCUCUCAAAGCAUCGCUCCACGCAGAUUGUAGCCGAGAGUCUGCAGAAGCUAAUUGGAGAUCCCAGAAUAGCCGUCAGCAUCGGAUGUGUCUUUGAGAUGCUGUAAUGAGCCACGGUCCGGGGUGAUGCAGGGCUCACAGAAAUAUGUGAGGGUGGAGAUUCCUCGGAGUGCUGGAGGCCGAGUCACCCAGUAACCUCCCCUUUUCUGCUCACAGCCGCUGGAGAUGGCACUGGUUCUGCUGGCUGUUAGCAAACGAGUGCAGAUGACAUUUCACCUCUGGACUUGUCCGUAGAACUAAUCUCAUUGUUUGUGGGAUGGUGGCCAAGUCCAUACACAAGAUAAAAGCCCGCACAGCGUGGUGUCCAGCAGCAGUCACAUCUCCCUGUGGAAGUGUUUCCCAGCAGUGCUGUUUGUAGGCUUGGCUUUAGGACACCCUCUGCUACAGAGCUCUCCCUGCUCAGCAGUCCAUCUUCUCUGGCUCCUGCUCUGGGAGGCUGCUGCUGCUUCAGCCUCUGGUCCAGCAUUUGGUACUCAGGCUGCCUUGCUUGGAGCCGUUACACAGCUGGACUCUGUCCUCCUUCAGUGGGAAGUCACCACGUGUCGUGGUUCCCAGCAUCGAGCAGCAGCUGAGCUCCAGCUGGGACUGCAGAGAUGUCCCGAGCAGUUCUUCCUGGAAGGAGACUGUUGUACUGCGUGUAUUCCUUACCCCUGGUUUCAAGUUGCUGUUUAGAUUAUUAGAUAAAGCAAAUGACUGCGAGCUUUAUUUCAUAAUUUAUUGAUGGUAAUUUUUAUUUAGCAUGGCCCUCUGUAAAACUCCAUCUUUGGCAAGUUGGAUCCAGCUGAGGUUUAGGAGCACAGCUGCAUUCCUUGCUUGGCUCUUAGAGCAGAUGAUUCCUCUUGUACAGAAUGAGUUUUCAAAUUUGUAUGAGAGCAUCUGUCACGGACAGAGCCAAGAAAAGCAAUUGAGAUGUGCACCUCUUCCUCCCUGCCCCACACCGCUGCUCCUGAAGGGCCCACGUGGGCAGGGGGCAGCUGGCACAGACCCAGGGGGGGGCAGCAGCUGUGCCUGCCUGCAGGGAGCUGAGCAGAGCAGGAGGUGCCGUUAGCACAGCCCUGCCGUGAGGGCUGUGAGUGCAGAUGGUGCUUGUGGGGAGUGUGGCACAGCUUAGGGAAAUCCUGCCUUAACUGAGAAACCUGCAGCCUCCCGGGCGAGAUGUUGGACACCAGCCCUGUUGGUGAGCUUUGAGGGGGAGGAAUUUCUGCAGCCGGUUGGUGCCUGUGGGGAACUGCCGUCUCCAAUGUAGAUCUUAUUCCUCUUCUCAGGAAGCUCAGAUCCCCAGAGCACAGAGCAGAACCCUUUGCUGUCGUUGCUCAGCUGAGCCAUAUGUUCCAAUAGAAAUGUUUGUUUCCACGCUCACUUUGCUCCUUUUGAGAUGCGGGACGGAGAUGGGAUGCGUUGCUUUCAGAUGACGAAGGAAUGCAGUCCGGGAGCCCUUUGCUUUACUGCAAGGUGGAAGCAGCCGGCUCUGCUGAACGGCGGAGCUCCUUCAGCCACCUCCAGAGCUGGAGAGAGGCAGCAUCGAAGCACGGCCUUCCCCAUGGAGCUGUUACUGCUGCCUCUGGAACCCAGCACGAGCGAAAGCCUGCAGCGUUCCACCCUGCCCUGCUGCUGUGGAGCGCCGGUGCUGCUGCCGGGCUGGAGGACCUGGUUCUGCUGCCGCUGCCGGGAUGCUGCUGGGCUUCGGUGGCUGCACAGAUUCCAAAACCAAUAAGGAAGAGAAGAUUGGUCCAUGAAAGGCCGUUAAUUUUGGAAGUGGCUUUGCCUGCAGCCUGGGCAGGGUUGUGCACUGCUCCAUCUGAACCACAGCCUGAGCCGCCCCGAGUUGGGGAACUCAGUGCAAAGCGCUGCAGUGGCUCCAUCCAGCGCUGAUGGAGGUCAAUGUUGGCCGAGGUGAAUGGUGGCGUUAAGCUGGUUGUGCGGGAAGCUGGCACGGUGCGACACAGCUGGCGUUCAGCUGAUGCUGGAAAUGAUUUGUCAUUCUUAAUAAAGAUUGAACGCGGAC